AGAGUUUGAUCCUGGCUCAGGAUGAACGCUAGCGGCAGGCUUAACACAUGCAAGUCGAGGGGCAGCGGGGAGGAAGCUUGCUUUCUCCGCCGGCGACCGGCGCACGGGUGAGUAACACGUAUGCAACCUGCCCCUGUCAGGGGGACAACCCGCCGAAAGGCGGGCUAAACCCGCGUACAUGCCACCGGGGCAUCCCGGAGGCAGGAAAGGCUUCGGCCGGACAGGGAUGGGCAUGCGGCGCAUUAGGCAGUAGGCGGGGUAACGGCCCACCUAACCGACGAUGCGUAGGGGUUCUGAGAGGAAGGUCCCCCACACUGGUACUGAGACACAGACCAGACUCCUACGGGAGGCAGCAGUGAGGAAUAUUGGUCAAUGGUCGGGAGACUGAACCAGCCAAGCCGCGUGAGGGAGGAAGGUACAGAGUAUCGUAAACCUCUUUUGUCAGGGAACAAAGGCGGGGACGUGUCCCCGGAUGAGUGUACCUGAAGAAGAAGCAUCGGCUAACUCCGUGCCAGCAGCCGCGGUAAUACGGAGGAUGCGAGCGUUAUCCGGAUUUAUUGGGUUUAAAGGGUGCGCAGGCGGUCUGUUAAGUCAGCGGUCAAAGCCCGGGGCUCAACCCCGGCCCGCCGUUGAAACUGGCAGUCUCGAGUUGGAGAGAAGUAUGCGGAAUGCGCGGUGUAGCGGUGAAAUGCAUAGAUAUCGCGCAGAACUCCGAUUGCGAAGGCAGCAUGCCGGCUCCACACUGACGCUGAGGCACGAAAGCGUGGGUAUCGAACAGGAUUAGAUACCCUGGUAGUCCACGCAGUAAACGAUGAAUGCUGGCUGUCCGGGGGGAUUGACCCCUGUGUGGCGAAGCGAAAGCGAUAAGCAUUCCACCUGGGGAGUACGCCGGCAACGGUGAAACUCAAAGGAAUUGACGGGGGCCCGCACAAGCGGAGGAACAUGUGGUUUAAUUCGAUGAUACGCGAGGAACCUUACCCGGGCUCAAACGGGGAGUGACUCAGGCAGAGACGCCUGUUUCCCACGGGACACUCCCCGAGGUGCUGCAUGGUUGUCGUCAGCUCGUGCCGUGAGGUGUCGGCUUAAGUGCCAUAACGAGCGCAACCCCCGCGUGCAGUUGCUAACAGAUAACGCUGAGGACUCUGCACGGACUGCCGGCGCAAGCCGCGAGGAAGGCGGGGAUGACGUCAAAUCAGCACGGCCCUUACGUCCGGGGCGACACACGUGUUACAAUGGGUGGUACAGCGGGAAGCCAGGCGGCGACGCCGAGCGGAACCCGAAAUCCACUCUCAGUUCGGAUCGGAGUCUGCAACCCGACUCCGUGAAGCUGGAUUCGCUAGUAAUCGCGCAUCAGCCAUGGCGCGGUGAAUACGUUCCCGGGCCUUGCACACACCGCCCGUCA
This 1402-nucleotide ribosomal RNA is filed under the name uncultured bacterium. RNAcentral's name for it is "16S ribosomal RNA". It matches the Rfam family "Bacterial small subunit ribosomal RNA". The record is from RNAcentral.